CGCCAGGGAAUUACGAGCCCCAGCUUAAAACCCAAAGGACUUGACGGUGUCCCACCCCACUAGAGGAGCCUGUUCUACAACCGAUAAUCCACGUUAUACCUAACCAUUUUUUGCUUUUCAGCCUGUAUACCUCCGUCGCAAGCUUACCAUGUGAACGCACAAUAGCAAGCUUAAGGGUCCCAAAGCCAACACGUCAGGUCAAGGUGCAGCUCAUGAAAUGGAAAGUGAUGGGCUACAAUUUCUACUUUAGAACAAACGAAAUUCUUCAUGAAACACAGUACGAAGGCGGAUUUAGCAGUAAAUAGGCAAUAGAGAGCCCUAUUAAAUUUGGCCCUGGGACGUGUACACACCGCCCGUCACCCUCUUCAAUAAAGCCCCGCCCUAUUCAUAAACUUCAACCCACAUCUUAGAAGAGGCAAGUCGAAACAUGGUAAGUGUACUGGAAAGUGCACUUGGAAAA
This 460-nucleotide ribosomal RNA is filed under the name Theloderma corticale (Tonkin bug-eyed frog). RNAcentral's name for it is "partial 12S ribosomal RNA". It matches the Rfam family "Bacterial small subunit ribosomal RNA", at positions 870 to 1525 of the family's 1533-position model. Lineage: Eukaryota; Metazoa; Chordata; Amphibia; Anura; Rhacophoridae. The record is from RNAcentral.